GCGCGAAAACUUUACAAUGCGAGAAAUCGUGAUAAGGGAACCCCGAGUGCCCGUAAAUUCGGGCUGUCCAUCAGUGUAAAUAACUGGUGAAGAAAGGGCCGGGCAAGACCGGUGCCAGCCGCCGCGGUAAUACCGGCGGCUCGAGUGGUGGCCACUAUUACUGGGCUUAAAGCGUCCGUAGCUUGAUUGUUAAGUCUCUUGGGAAAUCCACCGGCUCAACCGAUGGGCGUUCAGGAGAAACUGGCAAUCUAGGGACCGGGAGAGGUGAGAGGUACUCCAGGGGUAGGAGUGAAAUCCUGUAAUCCUUGGGGGACCACCUGUGGCGAAGGCGUCUCACUAGAACGGCUCCGACAGUGAGGGACGAAAGCUGGGGGAGCAAACCGGAUUAGAUACCCGGGUAGUCCCAGCUGUAAACGAUGCGCGUUAGGUGUAUCGGUGACCACGAGUCAUCGAGGUGCCGAAGGGAACCGUGAAACGUGCCGCCUGGGAAGUACGGUCGCAAGGCUGAAACUUAAAGGAAUUGGCGGGGGA
This 531-nucleotide ribosomal RNA is filed under the name uncultured Methanomicrobiales archaeon. Its description in RNAcentral is "bacterial SSU rRNA". It matches the Rfam family "Archaeal small subunit ribosomal RNA", at positions 339 to 875 of the family's 1478-position model. Lineage: Archaea; Methanobacteriati; Methanobacteriota; Methanomicrobia; Methanomicrobiales. The record is from RNAcentral.